RNAcentral lists this ribosomal RNA (254 nucleotides) under uncultured bacterium. RNAcentral's name for it is "partial 16S ribosomal RNA". It matches the Rfam family "Bacterial small subunit ribosomal RNA", at positions 524 to 776 of the family's 1533-position model. The record is from RNAcentral.
UACGUAGGGUGCGAGCGUUGUCCGGAAUUAUUGGGCGUAAAGAGCUCGUAGGCGGACUGUCGCGUCGAUCGUGAAAACUUGGGGCUUAACCCUGAGCUUGCGGUCGAUACGGGCAUGACUGGAGUUCGGCAGGGGAGACUGGAAUUCCUGGUGUAGCGGUGAAAUGCGCAGAUAUCAGGAGGAACACCGGUGGCGAAGGCGGGUCUCUGGGCCGAUACUGACGCUGAGGAGCGAAAGCGUGGGGAGCGAACAGG